This is a long non-coding RNA of Bos taurus (domestic cattle), 758 nucleotides long. NCBI's taxonomy places the organism in Eukaryota, Metazoa, Chordata, Mammalia, Artiodactyla, Bovidae. The record is from Ensembl.
GACGCAGAAUCCCGCCCGCGCCCGCGCGCCUCGGGGGCGGCGGGGGUGGCGGCGGCCCGUCCCUUCUGCAGCCCUGCGCGAGGCCUCGGCGCUCCCCUCCUGCCCCGGAGUCCCGUGAUCCUGGAAGUCCUGCGGGGCCAUCCUGUGCUUGAAGAUAAACACAGCCCCCCACCCUCGGGUGUCAGAUUCUUUCAGGACGUUUAUUUCCCUUGGUGUCCCCGUUCCGGACGUGGCUGAGCUCACCGCGGGCCCUACUCACCUGCUCUGUUCUAAGAGCUUCGUCUGCCAUUUGGCGCUGGCCCCAUCCUGGCUCUCAGCAAAGAGCUUCCAGGGUUUAAAAUGAAGGCAUUUCCUCACCUGUAAAGUGACUAGAAGAUUGCCCAGGUCCCUUCCAACAACUGCAGACUGUGUCAUCGGCUGGAUUUGGGCCCGAGCUGGACUGUGUGCAGCCCUCUCUCAGGAACACCUCUGUCUUUCCUGCCUUGAGCUUAGUUUCUGUCUAGAAAGUUGUAAGAGUUGAGACAAUGAGAGGAGGCUGAGGAGCUGUUUGCUCCCCUGAAUCAGGGGUUCGGAUCCAGUUGAGGGAUGCGGGGGUGGGGAGGAGAAGGUUCAGUCGAUGCCUAGACCUGACACAUUAACCCCUGGAUGAAUUAUUUUCACUUCUGUGAAAAAGGCUUUGGCUAUGGCUUCACGGAGAAGCCCGCCGCAUCGUAAAACCACCGGUGUCACGAGCUGUCUUCUGGAGAGUGGAAACGGGC